This 3095-nucleotide long non-coding RNA is filed under the name Sus scrofa (pig). Its description in RNAcentral is "lncRNA (ENSSSCG00000057180.1)". Lineage: Eukaryota; Metazoa; Chordata; Mammalia; Artiodactyla; Suidae. The record is from RNAcentral.
UCUUUUCUUUUUUUUUUUUUUCUUUUUUUUCCUUUUUUUGGUUGCUUCCAUCGCAUGUGGAAGCUCCCCAGCCAGGGAUCAAACCCCAUGUCACAGAAGUGACUCAAGCCACUGUGACAACACCAGAUCCUUAACCUGCUGUACCACAUAGGAACUCCCUACUGUAUUGUGUACUUAAAAACUUGCUAAGUUGGUAGCUGUUACAUGUUAGCACACACAAAAAAAUACUUACAAAUAAUAACUAAGAAGGCAGGAGGAAACUUUUAGAGGUGAUGGAUAUAUUAAUGGCGUAGAUUGUGGUGAUGGUUUCAUGGAGAUACACAUAUCUCCAACUCAUAAAAUGGUAUACACAAAUUAUGUACAGUUCUUUGUAUGUCAACAGUAUCUCAUCAAAGUGGGGGUUUUUUGGUCUUUUUUUUUUUUUUAGGGCCACAUCAAUGGCAUAUGGAGGUUCCCAGGCCAGGGGUCUAAUCGGAGCUGUUGCUGCCGGCCUACACCAGAGCCACAGCAACACCAGAGCCACAGCAAUGCCAGAUCUGAGCCGCGUCUGCGACCUACACCACAGCUCAUGGCAAUGCCGGAUCUCCGACCCACUGAGCGAGGCCAGGGAUCGAACCUGCAACUUCAUGGUUCCUAGUCAGAUUCGUCUCCGCUGCGCCACAACGGGAGCUCCUAAAUUGGUUUUUCUAAAAGUGUCUCUCACUCUUAGGCAUGACUCACACAGCUGUGUUCGUCUACCAUACUCUAUUGAAUUUUGGAGGAUGUGGCAGAGGAAUGUGAACAGUUCUAGAAACUCCAUGUUGUCCAGGCCAAGUAUUAGGGUGAGACAAAAAGGGUGAAAAGUUGAUGAAGUAUUACAGUCAUCUGGUAGGUGUCAGAGAGAAGACAUAGGUGGAGUGAAUUUCCUGCUUCCCAGGGUCAAUCUCUGUCUUUUUAUCUCUCUCUGUCUCUCUUUCUCUCUCAACACACACACACACACACACACACACACACACACACACAGAGUUCUGUCUUUGUGCUGCCCCCGGUUUACAGACAUUGGCAUGGCAGUGAAUUCGAGGUGAUCCUGUGGGGUCAUGGGCCUGACGCCCCACUUCCUGCAUUGAACUGUAUCAAACUCCACAAACACCAUGAGCAGCUAAUCUUCUUUGACUGCUAGGGGCUGGUCCUUGCCUGUAAUCUUAAAUUGCUUUAUCUUAUUUGAUUUUCACAAUAACUCCAGGAAGAAACUUUAUAACUGAGGAAACGGAAGCUUAUAGAGCUCAGGUAAUUUGCCUAAGGUCACACAGAGAGAAGAAAUGACAAAUCUAGCCUCUACCCUGUUUCUUUUCUUACUUACGCUACAAGGUUUCAUUUCCUUUAACCUCUUGCUGUCACACUAAAAGUGUGACACUCACCCUCUAACACUCCAUGCGGCUUCACACCUCUGCACCAACUGAGUCCAUGUGCUGAGAAACCUCCUCUCAGAUAUCUGCUGUCAAAGGCCUACCCAGGGGUCCUGGAUCUGCAGAGACUCUUCUGAGCUGCCUGCCUUGAUGUCCUGUACACGUUCCCCUCUUGCAAGUAUCAGGCUGCACACUAAUGAUGCGUUUACACACUCCUAGCUCUCUCCUGGCUGUGGGCUCCUGAGGCAGAGCCAGACUUAGUGCACCUCCUUCACUGUGUUUGGUAGACAUUCCUGUCCAGGAAAGCCUUUUGAACUAAACAUUAGUGAGUUCUCAGUAAAUGUCACUAGACAUAAUAGUGCCUGGGAAGAACAAACCAGUGUCUAAAGAAUGUAGACACUAGCAAUGGGGGUGGGGGUGGGGAAAGGUGGUUUGGAAAAUCACAAUCUUUGACUUAAUUAUUUAUGUAUAAAACUUUCCACAAAAAGUGGAUUUCGUAAUGAAUGACUUCUUCUCCUAUAAUCCCUUACCAUUAAUAUUAGGCUUAAAUAUUUAAGUUUAGCUUAUUGGGAGUCAAUAUUUAAUUUAAAAAUGUAAUUCUUAUUAGGGUUUUAAUAAAUAAUAACAUGUAAUAACUACCAAUGAUAUUUUCACAUAUAAAAACACUUGAUUUUUAACAUAAUUAAUUUUGAAAUAAAAUGUAAUUGAAAAAUUACUCUCCAAGAAACUCUACACUUUGACCAAGUUUUUGGUCUAAUCUAUCCUUUAUUCUUUUUGCAUUGCUUACAGUUCACAGCUUUCUCUCUCUCGCUUUUCCUAUUGUUUCUUCAGUAAGAUCUGUGUGAAAGAAGAUGGACUUUCUUCAGGCCUAUUAAUAAAGUGGAGGAGAUUAACACUGAUGUAAGAAAAACAAAAAAAUAGUUAUUUUUAAUCCACAGGAAGGCAUAAAAAUGUCUACAAACAAGCAUUGUGGGGUUUGAACAUUAAAUUCUAGUUUUCUGUAGCUUGUAGUUAAUUUUAUUAUAAAUUAACAGGUAUUUAAAAGGUCUAUAAUGCUAUCUGUCCUGGAUUUUGUGAUUCAGAAGAGGUUCUGGGGUUUUGAGAUGGGCGUGCGCGCGCGCGCACACACACACACACACACACACACACACAGACUCACACGUACACAUGCCCACAUUAAUAUCUCCCCCAAAACAUUUAUUAGACUCAAUGGCCAUUCAGAUAACCUCAAGUAAAGUAAGUUUAUCAUAAGACCAUGUUUCUCAAACUGAGGUAGCCACACCUCUGAGGAAUUAUAUGAGUUACUGACCUGCAGUUAUAGGAAGCAACUGGAAAAAAAAAAGUGUGGCAUAUCUCCCUAAGUUGUUAAUUUAAAUUAAUGGAUUAAGCAUUAUUUUAAUAUAACCGCCAGUAGAGAUCUCUUAGGGAGGAGAAUGCAAAUUUCUCAUGAAAUUUUAAAGAUAAAAAUAGCAAGAGACUGCAAAGAAAUGUUGAACUUGUGAUAAGCUGCUUGGGCUCUGUCCCAGACUGCUAGUGGUACACAGACUUUUCUUUCCUUUGGUUAAGUGGAAAAGUCAGAGAAGUAUAGUAUAGGAUUCACAUAGAAAUAGGGACAAUAGGUGCUCACUUGUGGAGCAGGGGGUUAAGGAUCUGGCUUUGUCACUGCAAUGGCUCAGGUUGCUGCUGGGGCAUGGGUCGGAUCCCUGGCCU